This 143-nucleotide microRNA precursor is filed under the name Gossypium hirsutum (cotton). Its description in RNAcentral is "MIR7502 microRNA precursor family". It matches the Rfam family "MIR7502 microRNA precursor family". The record is from Rfam by way of RNAcentral. Lineage: Eukaryota; Viridiplantae; Streptophyta; Magnoliopsida; Malvales; Malvaceae.
UUUUAAAAAUUUUAUUUACUUGUAGUGUUAAAAAUUAGUAUAACUAAUGGAAUAACCAGAUAUAAUACGUGGCAUGCCAUGUGUAUAUUAUGUUGACAUACAAUGACUAAUUUUAACAGUAGAAAUGAAUAAAAUUUUUAACA